GACGAACGCUGGCGGCGUGCUUAACACAUGCAAGUCGAACGAUGAAACCGGAGCUUGCUCCGGUGGAUUAGUGGCGAACGGGUGAGUAACACGUGAGUAACCUGCCCUUGACUCUGGGAUAACUGCGGGAAACUGUAGCUAAUACCGGAUACGACCCUCGGAGGCAUCUCCUGGGGGUGGAAAGAAUUUCGGUCAAGGAUGGACUCGCGGCCUAUCAGCUAGUUGGUGAGGUAACGGCUCACCAAGGCGACGACGGGUAGCCGGCCUGAGAGGGUGACCGGCCACACUGGGACUGAGACACGGCCCAGACUCCUACGGGAGGCAGCAGUGGGGAAUAUUGCACAAUGGGCGCAAGCCUGAUGCAGCAACGCCGCGUGAGGGAUGACGGCCUUCGGGUUGUAAACCUCUUUUAGCAGGGAAGAAGCGAAAGUGACGGUACCUGCAGAAAAAGCACCGGCUAACUACGUGCCAGCAGCCGCCGUAA
RNAcentral lists this ribosomal RNA (484 nucleotides) under uncultured bacterium. Its description in RNAcentral is "partial 16S ribosomal RNA". It matches the Rfam family "Bacterial small subunit ribosomal RNA", at positions 28 to 523 of the family's 1533-position model. The record is from RNAcentral.